RNAcentral lists this ribosomal RNA (753 nucleotides) under uncultured archaeon. RNAcentral describes it as "bacterial SSU rRNA". It matches the Rfam family "Archaeal small subunit ribosomal RNA", at positions 325 to 1080 of the family's 1478-position model. The record is from RNAcentral.
ACGGGGUGCAGCAGGCGCGAAACCUCCUCAAUGCACUUACGUGCGAAGGGGCUACCUCGAGUGCCAUCUGAUGAAGGUGGCUUUUCCUAGGUCUACAAAGCCUUGGGAAUAAGAGGGGGGCAAGACUGGUGUCAGCCGCCGCGGUAACACCAGCCCCUCGAGUGGUGGGGAUGAUUAUUGGGCCUAAAGCGUCCGUAGCCUGCCGUGUAAGUUUCCCGUUAAAUCCAGCGUCUCAAGCGUUGGACCGCGGGAAAUACUGUACGGCUAGAGAGUGGGAGAGGUCAGCGGUAUUCUGGGGGUAGGGGCGAAAUCCUUUGAUCCCCGGAGGACCACCAGUGGCGAAGGCUGCUGUCUAGAACACGUCUGACGGUCAGGGACGAAAGCUGAGGUAGCGAACCGGAUUAGAUACCCGGGUAGUCCCAGCCGUAAACGAUGCAUGCUAGGUGUUGGGUUGGCCACGAGCCACCCCAGUGCCGCAGGGAAGCCGUUAAGCAUGCCGCCUGGGAAGUACGAUCGCAAGGUUGAAACUUAAAGGAAUUGGCGGGGGAGCACCACCAGGCGUGAAGCCUGCGGUUUAAUUGGAGUCAACGCCGGGAACCUUACCGGGAGCGACAGCAGAGUGAAGGUCAGAUUGAAGAUCUUACCAGACGAGCUGAGAGGAGGUGCAUGGCCGUCGCCAGUUCGUGCCGUGAGGUGUUAUGUUAAGUCAUAUAACGAACGAGACCCGUGCCGCAUGUUGCCACCAGAAUCUAA